CACGGGGGGAGCAAGCGUUGUUCGGAAUCACUGGGCGUAAAGCGCACGUAGGCGGACUCUUAAGUCGGUGGUGAAAUCCUGGAGCUCAACUCCAGAACUGCCUUCGAUACUGGGAGUCUCGAGUUCGGGAGAGGUGAGUGGAACUGCGAGUGUAGAGGUGAAAUUCGUAGAUAUUCGCAAGAACACCGGUGGCGAAGGCGGCUCACUGGCCCGAUACUGACGCUGAGGUGCAAAAGCGUGGGGAGCAAACAGG
RNAcentral lists this ribosomal RNA (253 nucleotides) under uncultured bacterium. RNAcentral describes it as "partial 16S ribosomal RNA". It matches the Rfam family "Bacterial small subunit ribosomal RNA", at positions 524 to 776 of the family's 1533-position model. The record is from RNAcentral.